This 217-nucleotide unclassified non-coding RNA is filed under the name Cerioporus varius. RNAcentral's name for it is "partial ITS1". Lineage: Eukaryota; Fungi; Basidiomycota; Agaricomycetes; Polyporales; Polyporaceae. The record is from RNAcentral.
CCGAGUAUUGAAACGGGUUGCAGCUGGCCUUUUACCGGGCAAGUGCUCGCCCUUUCGAAUUCACUCUCUACACCUGUGCACUUAUUGUGGGUCUUGGUUUUGUUCACUCUCCUGUGUGAUCUUAGUUGAUCUUACGGGGGAGGGGGGAACUGGGCUCACAUUUUAUCACAAACCCCUUCAGUAUCAGAAUGUUUAUUGCGAUAUAACGCAUUUAUAU